GCCAACCUAGCUCAGUUGGUAGAGCAACGCAUUCGUAAUGCGUGGGUCGUGGGUUCGAUUCCCAUGGUUGGCUUUU
Molecule: transfer RNA, 76 nt
Filed under: Brachyspira pilosicoli B2904
Lineage: Bacteria; Pseudomonadati; Spirochaetota; Spirochaetia; Brachyspirales; Brachyspiraceae
Also listed under: 1 other name
Description: tRNA-Thr
Rfam family: tRNA
About the family: Transfer RNA (tRNA) molecules are approximately 80 nucleotides in length.
Source: RNAcentral